Zea mays is the source of this 1025-nucleotide RNA transcript. RefSeq lists it as uncharacterized. Lineage: Eukaryota; Viridiplantae; Streptophyta; Magnoliopsida; Poales; Poaceae. The transcript is spliced from 3 exons. The record is from RefSeq and is marked validated.
AUCAUACCACACACACCUCCACGGACAUGCUGGCCUCAUCGCCCUGCCCUUCUGCUCGCCGGAGCUCCACUUCCCUGUUUCAGCCUCUCCCAUGGACGCCCCCCUCCCUUCCUGCAGCAAGCCAUGGCGGCAGUCCUCUCCCUCAGUUUCCUCUCAUGGCUAUGGACAUCGGCUGAUCCUUCCCUCCCAUGGCGCCCAUUAUUUCCUUUCCCUACUGUUUCUUGGAUACUAGAUGCUGGAGCUGCCUUCCCAUGGUGCUGUCCUCUUUUAUGGCGCUCCUCUCUGUUCCAAACAACCACUCCCUUAUCCCCUACACCAGUCGUUCACCAUGUGCUCAACAAAAUGUCGCAGCGUGCUGCACCUUGAUUUGUGCAGUCCCGAUUACGUUGUCGUCACCCUGGUGAGAUCCCGAUGUUCCUUCUCCGUUCAAUUCCGCAUCGGCGUUGGUUCGCUGCUAUUAAUUGUGUGUAUGGUUGUAUUUUUGUUGAGGAGCAAAAUCCCAAGUGUUUGGGUAGAGAAGAAGAAAGGAACUCCAGUGCAGCAAACACCCCGUGUUCGAUGAAAUGUUUGAAUCGGAAUCAUCAGCAUAUCCGCAGUUUGGUUUAACUAUGGUACGUUAAUUGAUCACGUGCUAUGGAAGACGACUGGAAUUAAUCUCCAAGUGAUGCUGAUGGACGAAGCUAAAAUGGAUGAAUCAACCAAGUGCCAGGAUAGAAGAUGCUCACCAAGUGGUCGUCAAUUAACAACACUAACUUAGUGUUAUCCCAGGUUGUAAUUUUGUUCUGUUGUGGAUGGUGCUAAGUGCCGGUGGGCUCGGCCUUCUUCUAUAAGUAUAUCCCGUCUUUAGUUUCUCUAUUGAGGAUUGUCACUUAAGCUAGCAUGUAUUUGAAAACCUAUAAAUAUUUUAUACAUUUUAAAUUGUAAUUUUUUUUAAUCACUUUCUUUUGUAAUCACUCCGAUAAUUGUAUAAUGUAAACUUAUUGUAAUAUGAAAUCAUUUUGCAAUAAAGAAUUUUAUUUCCGCUG